AUGCAUCUAUCUGACAGGCCCGGGGUCGUUACCAUCUGCUGCUAAGGUUUCCACUGCAGAUGCAAGAAAAAAGUGUCCUCACACUUUCUGUCUCAUUGCGGCAGCCAAGACCGGCUGAGGAAUAAAACU
This 129-nucleotide small nucleolar RNA is filed under the name Microcebus murinus (gray mouse lemur). Its description in RNAcentral is "Small nucleolar RNA SNORA31 (ENSMICG00000025612.3)". Lineage: Eukaryota; Metazoa; Chordata; Mammalia; Primates; Cheirogaleidae. The record is from RNAcentral.